GGAUCAUCACCUGCUUUUCCAGGCUCAAUGUUGCAAUCACAGAAAGGUUUUCUGUCGGAGCCCUCGAAGCUGCACUUCACCAGGGAGACAAGUGAAGGAACUCCAUUAAAGCAAUUCCAUGAUGUUGAAGAGAUGGCCAGGAAAUUGGAUGAUCUUCUAGAAGGUAUAGAAGGUGAAGGUGGGUUUAGAGAUGCUUCCAUCCGUGCUCAAAGCAGUUCAGUUUUGGCAUUGGAGGAAGGUAUAGAGAGUGUAUCGGAGAAAUGCAGGAUAUGGAGAGCAGUAAUGGAUAAACAA
RNAcentral lists this unclassified non-coding RNA (294 nucleotides) under Hevea brasiliensis (rubber tree). The record is from RNAcentral. Lineage: Eukaryota; Viridiplantae; Streptophyta; Magnoliopsida; Malpighiales; Euphorbiaceae.